AGUGAACGCUGGCGGUAGGCCUAACACAUGCGAGUCGAACGGCAGCACAGUAAGAGCUUGCUCUUACGGGUGGCGAGUGGCGGACGGGUGAGGAAUACAUCGGAAUCUACUUUUUCGUGGGGGAUAACGUAGGGAAACUUACGCUAAUACCGCAUACGACCUACGGGUGAAAGCAGGGGAUCUUCGGACCUUGCGCGAUUGAAUGAGCCGAUGUCGGAUUAGCUAGUUGGCGGGGUAAAGGCCUACCAAGGCGACGAUCCGUAGCUGGUCUGAGAGGAUGAUCAGCCACACUGGAACUGAGACACGGUCCAGACUCCUACGGGAGGCAGCAGUGGGGAAUAUUGGACAAUGGGCGCAAGCCUGAUCCAGCCAUACCGCGUGGGUGAAGAAGGCCUUCGGGUUGUAAAGCCCUUUUGUUGGGAAAGAAAAGCAGCAGGUUAAUACCCCGCUGUUCUGACGGUACCCAAAGAAUAAGCACCGGCUAACUUCGUG
Molecule: ribosomal RNA, 492 nt
Filed under: uncultured bacterium
Lineage: Bacteria
Description: partial 16S ribosomal RNA
Rfam family: Bacterial small subunit ribosomal RNA
Source: RNAcentral